Molecule: non-coding RNA, 99 nt
Organism: Acanthosepion pharaonis
Lineage: Eukaryota; Metazoa; Mollusca; Cephalopoda; Sepiida; Sepiidae
Source: the annotation of a GenBank genome assembly
UUUAAAACACCGAUUCCCGUACAGUCACAGAAGUUAAGCAAAGUCGAUCCGGGUCAGUACCCAGAUGGGUGACCUUUUGAGAAUACCAGGUUCUGUAAG